CAGCAGCAGGUUACACCUAUGUAAAAGUUGAUGAAGAUUAGACAAGAUCAUUAGUAAAUAGCUCACUCAUGCUUAUCCAAAGGUUAAAUAAAUCAAGAGAAGCAAAACUUCAAUUAUCUAUUAGAUAAGCUUCAUUUCCUAGUCAAGUGUACAACACGCAUCCUACAAAACUAAUUCAAAACUGAAUGGAUCACAUGAGACAUUCCACGCUCUUACACUAUUCAAAACUUGAAAAAAGGUAAUAUUAUACAGCAUUUUUAUGCUAUGGUGACUUUUCAAUCUACUAAUGGUAAUUCUAUCAAACUUGCAAAAAGAGAGUAAUCUUUUCAUUUUGUUAUAAGUUGUUAAAUCUGAACAGGCUGCCAUCAGCUUUCAGUUUCAUUCAAAACCAUUCAUUUCAUAUCUUAAUGCCAAUUCUGAUCCCUAAAAAUAAAGAGACUAGCAACGCUGCUCCACAAUGUUUUGCACGUAUUUUACGUCAAGUAAUACUCUCACCUACUGAAAAGACUCGACAGUGAAGGUUGACCAUGUUUCCUCUCAACCAAUAUCUUUGAGAGUUUCUCAGUUUUCUCCUUUACCGACUCUUGCAAUAAUACAUGGCAAUCUUUCUUUUCUUCCCACUUCAUUUUCUCAGCGUUGCUUAAAUUACUACUCCCAGACACAUUUAACUGCUUAGAUUCAUCAUCAUGUAACUGAUGAUGCUUCACUUUGUUUAUCACCUUCAUAUGUUUUCUAGCCAUAUCGUGGCUCUUCUUCUGAACAGUUCCAGACCUUUUAUCAUUCUUUGCCUGGCAUUGCAACUGAUGCUUUUUUUUCUCUAACAAAUUCUCUUGCAUCUUAUUUAGUUCUCCUUCAGGCAAUUGACUUGUCUCACCUGCUUUCUGGCGCUUCUUGGGCACCUCCUGGGACUUAUCUUCCAAAUCCACCUCGUUCUUACGUUUUUUAUCCUUCCGCAUUUCAGUUUGAUACUUUUCCAGAUCAGAAGGUAUUGGAUCAUGUUUCUCAUCAAUGACCUCAGGCACCUCCCUCCCAACCUCCAUUCCUACUUUAAUAAGUCCACUACUCAAAGUUUCCAAAAUAACUUUGCCAAGUACAAAUCUAGUCUCAUGUUGAUUCCCUUUUCCAAGUUGGAAGUAGUCAAUCAUGAAAUUCUCUCUUCCACUUUCGUAAGAUUCAACAUCAUUCAACAGCACAUCAAAAAGUUGAGCAACAUGAUUUCCUGUUUUCUUCGGUACAAAUACCAAACCAGAACUUGGGGAAACUGGGUAUUUGGACAUGGAACGGACAAGAAUAUCUGUAUCAAUCAAGGUACCAACAGAAUCUCGAACCAAGGCUGCUAAAUGACUAGCUUCUUUUGCAAGUUCUUUAUCUGUUUUAAAUUCAGAAAACCCUGAGAUCUCAGGUACAAAUUUAACUUGCAAUUUGGCAUUUUCUCUUGCAAAUUUAACACCUUCCUUCCACUUUCCAUGAUACAGGACAGAAGCAAAGACCCAGACAACAAAAGCAUCUUGCGGAUUAGUUACUAAUGCUAGGUGAAAUGCUAGUAGUCCAACCCAUAGACUGCAGUCACAAGGUUGAUUGCAACUAACCAAUGUAUCCAAAUUGAAGAACAAUUUCUAUCAAGGAGAGAGAAAAAGAGAGAUUUUUAGAAAACAAGGAUCUACAUACAGAGAGAAAUUAUUCAAAAAGUACGAAUCUCACAGGAAAUCAAUUACAGAACCUUUCCAAAUUAAAUCAUGAGAAGGAAAUGCAAGCAGAAAAAGAAAGAAGACACAAUAUACUACUGUUGUGAAAAUUGUUUCGGUAGAAAGGGACAGGCUUCAGUCAAGUAUUUGCCACUUCCUGUUCCAGACAUGGCAGGGUUUUACAAACCCAAGAGGGCUAUAGAUGGAUCCCCCUCCCACCAGUGGUUGUGCUGAUAAGAACAUUGCCAUGUCAUCAACAUCGAGGAACUCCGAUACGUUUCACCAACCUGUUGAUUAAGGUAUGCUGCCUGCAAUCAGGGAUUCCCAGUCAGAUGUAAGCCAAACUAAUGGUUAUAAAAAAGGAGAAAUUUUGGAAUGCAUCAGGUUGGAAACUGAAAAUCUACAAACAUGAAAUGGAAGAAAAAGUUCAAGAAGGUUGAAUCUCUGAAGCAAACAGAUAGUAGACUCAGCAGCUCCAUAAGAUAGCAUGUAGUUCAAUUCCAUCAUUAUCUUGGACUGAAAAGACACAGAAUGCCAUUUUGGUGAGAAUAUGAUGAAGUUAGAGAACUUAAAUUAGACAACCAAAGGAAUCAGCACAAAUGAUUGCAACAUAACCACUGUGGCAACAGACAUUAAAUAAUGGAAAAGGAAUAAAGAAAACAUCACCCCUGUAGAGGCCAAAAACAAUAUAGAAUCUUAAAACAACAAAUCAGGCAGUAGGUUAUCUUACUUAAGCCUUAAAAUACCUUGUCCAAACUCUUGACAGAAGAUGAAAGUUUACGCAUAGCAAUUUCAGUGUCCUCUGAAAUUGACAAUCCCAGACGGCCUGCAAUUCUCAAUCCCCGCAAGAUUCUUGCUGAAUGACAUGGUUUGCAAUACAAUUCCAGUUUAGUUGAACAAACAAUAUAAGCGAGUCGCUGCAUCCCAAGUCCUGAGGCGCUAAAAGAACUUAUAUAUAAAGGUGGAAGUACCUACCACAAUCCUCUUGGAAUGACAAGUGAGCAGGGAUUAUGGUUCGUAGCUUUAAGGACUUCAAAUCUGCUAAGCCAUUGACAUAAUCACAUAUUUGAUUCUUGAAAGGGUCAAAGAAUAAACUGUUAAUUGUGAAAUCCCGAUGCAUGCUAUUUCUCCAGCAGACAAAGUCUUUUUUAUCACUGCCACUUGGCAUUUGAGAUAAAAGUACCUUUUCUUUUUCUUCAGCAUGUUUUGCUACUGUCUCAAAACUGGAUACCUCAACUACUGAACUUCUAAUAUGCACCCUGCAUAUAGGAAACCGGCGUCCAACAAUCACAGAGCGAAAAAAUUGCUUCUUAACCUCUUUAAGCUUAGCUGUCGUGACCACAUCAAAAUCUUUAGGUAUUCUAUUAAGAAGUAAAUCUCUCACACAUCCACCAACUAAGUAAGCUUGAAAUCCUUUACCCUGCAGAAUUUUCAAAACAAUCCAUAGGUGAGCUGGAAUCAUAUAAUGGGUCACACCAACACGCUUUGCAUUUAUCUUUUUCCAACCCGACAUGUCAAUAGUGGAACUUUGUUGAGCCCUAGAAUCAGAGUACCCCAUUCCACGGGAUAAUCGAGCUUGUUCAGUUAAAGUAUGGUUGAACCUCUGUGAGUUGGUUAGGGAUUUGAGAGUACAUAACAAGCAAUUUUUGGCUCUGAGGAAUAUCGCCAUCUAGAAUAUGAAAACUAUAGCGCCAUUACACUUUCCAGUUGAUCUUGUUGGGGAGGCUACUUUUUAGCUCGCAUUAAUGAUAGAACUCCCAGUUGCUCUUCCCACCGUCAAAAUGCCCUCUCUUGCGCAAAGUUGAAAAGCCCAGGGCAAAUUGUCAAGAUGACCCCUCAACUGAAA
Molecule: unclassified non-coding RNA, 3531 nt
Filed under: Hevea brasiliensis (rubber tree)
Lineage: Eukaryota; Viridiplantae; Streptophyta; Magnoliopsida; Malpighiales; Euphorbiaceae
Source: RNAcentral